Molecule: transfer RNA, 68 nt
Filed under: Marmota monax (woodchuck)
Lineage: Eukaryota; Metazoa; Chordata; Mammalia; Rodentia; Sciuridae
Description: tRNA.Gly
Source: RNAcentral
GGUUUAGAACUCAGUGGUAGAGCAUUUGCUUACCAUGCACAAGACCCUGGGUUCAAUCCCCAGCACCA